RNAcentral lists this ribosomal RNA (620 nucleotides) under uncultured bacterium. Its description in RNAcentral is "bacterial SSU rRNA". It matches the Rfam family "Bacterial small subunit ribosomal RNA", at positions 427 to 1035 of the family's 1533-position model. The record is from RNAcentral.
AAAGUUCUGUUGUUAGUGAAGAACAAGUACCGUUCAAAUAGGUCGGUACCUUGACGGUAACUAACGAGAAAGCCACGGCUAACUACGUGCCAGCAGCCGCGGUAAUACGUAGGUGGCAAGCGUUGUCCGGAAUUAUUGGGCGUAAAGGGCGCGCAGGCGGCCGAUUAAGUCUGAUGUGAAAUCCCACGGCUUAACCGUGGAAGGUCAUUGGAAACUGAUUGGCUUGAGUGCAGAAGAGGAGAGUGGAAUUCCACGUGUAGCGGUGAAAUGCGUAGAUAUGUGGAGGAACACCAGUGGCGAAGGCGGCUCUCUGGUCUGCAACUGACGCUGAGGCGCGAAAGCGUGGAUAGCAAACAGGAUUAGAUACCCUGGUAGUCCACGCUGUAAACGAUGAGUGCUAAGUGUCAGGGGGUUUCCGCCCCUUGGUGCUGGAGUUAACGCAUUAAGCACUCCGCCUGGGGAUUACGGCCGCAAGGCUGAAACUCAAAGGAAUUGACGGGGGCCCGCACAAGCGGUGGAGCAUGUGGUUUAAUUCGAAGCUACGCGAAGAACCUUACCAGGUCUUGACAUCCUCUGCUACUUUUAGAGAUAAAAGGUUCCCCUUCGGGGGACAGAGUGAC